This is a non-coding RNA of Vicugna pacos (alpaca), 4333 nucleotides long. Lineage: Eukaryota; Metazoa; Chordata; Mammalia; Artiodactyla; Camelidae. The record is from RefSeq and is a predicted model, not a curated record.
UAUGCUAAGGCUCUGACGGAGAAAGGAGACAGCAUGCAAGAACAGAUGGGCAAUGUAAGCAGAGAUGGAAAUCCUACAAAAGAUGCAAAAAGGAAAGCUAGAGAUAAAAAACACUAACAGAAAUGAAGAGUGCUUUUGAUGGGCUUACUGGUAGCCUGGACAUGGCUGAAAAAAAUCAUCUCUGAGCUAAAAACUCAUAAUAGUGCCAUUGAUUAAGACAGAGAACAUAGGAGGAGGACCAGAUUAGGUCUUGGAUACAUACAGCAACCAAAGGAAAAACUUGUUAAAGAUGAAAUGUUUUUCUUCAUGCUGAGAAGGAACCGUGGAGGGUUUGCCCUGUCGACAGAGGAGUGUGAAGGACCUGGGAGCAAAAACAAGAUGGAGAAAAGCUGGGCUAAUGAGAAAAGACGCAGCUUCAGUGGUAGUUACUAUUUUCCAUGCAAGUUUAUUCAGACUACAGAAUAAAGCACAUGAAGAAGCUAUGCAGAGAAAUGUGGGAGAGGUGGCAUGAACUAAGAUGGCAUGAACUUCCCAAAGUAUUAAUUAUUGAUCAAUUUUAAAAUGUCUCGGAGGCUAAGCAAGCAGAGAAACCAGAAGACUCUAACGGAUAACAGCUUCAGAGGUGUUCAGAGGUCGGCUCUCCAGAACAUCAGCACUGCUCCCGGCAUGGUUGAUGAGGUUCUUGUUUUGUGAGCACAUACCAAAUUCCUCCAGGAUUUCUGGAGUUCGUUCUACUUCUCAAAGUCGGGGAUGCGGAGCUCACUCCAAACAGCACUCAAACUACAGGCCAUCAUGUCCUUGAUGUCUUGGUGUGUUUCUGAUCCUAUGUAUGUCUACAAAUGAAAAGGAACAAAGGGAACUCAUCUGCCAAGAAGCAGAAGAGCUGGACACUUUUUCCAUUUAGAGACAAGCGGUACACACUCCUGAGGGUAGUGUACUGACACCUGCUGCAGGAUAGGGAAGAGAACUGCUGGGCUAAGUACAGUUCCCAGCAUAGGGAUGCUCACCGCCAUUUCUGCACUGUUUGUUGCUUUGCACCAGUAUCGGGGGUAAACCUAUAAAUAUUACUUGCACUGUAGGGGAUCAUAAUCAUACUGUUAAGCUGCACACUGAGAACUUUAGGUUCAUUUUAGCAGGGAAAACAAUAUAUAAGGUAUUUUAUUCUUUAACACAAGAUUCAAAAGAUGAAAUUAAACUACAUGAAAGCUAUAGCUGGCAUGACACCCCAAAAUAUGGAGCACUAGAAGUUGAGAGGGGUAACCAAGAGAGUGGAUGACAAACAGAAAACAAAAGGAUGUUGGCAAACUGGACUUAUGGAUUCUAUCUAUCAAAUUGAGGUUUAAUAAGGAUGAUAAGUAAGAGGAAUUCAUUUGCAUUUGAAAACUGCUUCCACAAGUAUAUGUUGGAGGCUAUGUGGUUUAGCAACAAUACAGGAAAAAAAGCUUUAAGGUUUUAGCUUAUUUUACAGUCAAUAUGAUGUGAUGACACAAGAAUAGUUAGUCUUGAAUUCUAUUUAUAAAACACAAUAGUAUCUGGCAAAAUAGAUAUGUGUUCUGCUCUAGUGAAACCACACCACCACCUGAUUAUUGCACUCAUUUCUCGGGAACACUUGAAGAGGACCUGUUUUAAUUAGGAUACAAUCUAGGCUGCUGAUACAAUGAGAUCUAUUGACUCAGUUGCUUAAAGAACAAAGAAGCUUGCUUCUCUCCUAUGUAACAGUCCCAGGUGAUUGAUGGCUUCCCCAGGUAUAGAUUCCUCGACAGAACGUGAUUCUCUUCCUCAGAAUUUUGAAGGCAUUUGUCCGCCGUGUUACUAUGAUCCAGUGUUGCUGUUGAGGUGGGUCGGGCUCUUUAUUUGUGAAGAAAUGUCCUCUGAAUUUCAUGCAGAGGUCAUAGGAGCUCUAGGGGAUUGUCAGGUUUCUUUUGUGUUUAUCACCUUGACUAAUCUGCACUUUUCCCUGCACUUGUACUUGUCACUAACUGCUAGCUUGUCACAGGGCUCGGUCCAUGAACCCCUUCUCUUUCUUCAGCUUUAUUUACAAUGAAAAUACGGACUGCUACUCAUAGUGAUGUGAGUUUGAGUGAAAUAACAAGCACACCCCGUGGAACUAUUUGCUUGAUAAAUAGUAUCUGGACAAUCACAAAAAUCUCACAGGAAUUUUCUUUCCCUAAUGCCCACUAGUUUCCUUCAUAAGAACUUUAAUAACAAAAUAAAUAACCAACAGUGACUAUUUUCAAAGAGAAUUUUUAGUGGGGAUAUAUUAAUAGUACUAAAAUACUACUAUUUAUAGUCUUACACAGAGUAAAUAGCAGAUCCCCCAAAAAGGAUGCUUGGUGAGGGAAUAUUGGAUUAAAAAGGGGAAACGUCUAUCUUCUUUUCUUCUCCAAAUUCCCUGAUAUGACAAAAAAAAAAACUUUUGACGGGAUAAAAGAGGAAUAAACUUAUAAUGUCACUGGAAGACAGAAGGGGGAAUAUCAAUUCUUGGAGGAGAGAAAUCAGGUGGAAAUUGGAAUUACAACGGCAUUUAAAAACCUUAAGAGAUUCUUAUAAUUAACUUUAUGCCAAUAAGGUUGAAAAUAUCAAUAAUUUUUAGAAACAUAAAUUAUUAAAAAUUCAUACAAGAAGAAACAGUAAACCUGAAUAAAUCAGAUACUUUAAAGAAAUUGAAUCAGGUAUCAGUAACUCCCUCACCCACUAAUUGUUUCAUUUCUGGCUUCUUUUGCUUAACAUUAAGUUUGUAAAAUUUGUCCAUGUUGCCUGUAGCAGUAACUUGUUAUUUUCAUUGACAUAGAGUAUCCAUUUUAUGAAUAUACCAAAACUUCUUUGUCCAUUAUGCUACUGAGGGCACUUCCAGCUUGGGACUAUUAUAAGUAUCCCUGAAUGAACAUUUUUGUACCAGAAUCCAACAUCUUAAAAGACAUAUGUAUGCAUUUCUGCUAGAUAGAUAUCCAGCAGUGGGAAUGCUCAUUCCAGCAGUAGAAUUAGAGUAUGCAUAUAUUCAAUUUUAGUAGAUGUUGCUUAAUAGUUUUCUAAAGGAGUAUACCAAUUUAUAUUUUUACUAGUAAUGUAUGAGAUUCCAGUUGCUGCACAUCUUUACCAACACUUGGUGCUGUUGGUUUUUAAAAUUUUAGCCAUUCUGGAGAGUUUGUAGUCCCAUCUUAUCAUGACUUUAAUUUGCAUUUACUUCACAAUGUUGAGCCCAUUUUCACGUAUUUAUUGACCAUGGGCAUCCUCUUCAAUGAAAUGCCUGCUCAAAAUUUUUGUCCAUUGUUUUCAGGAAGGAAGGGUGAGUAAUAGCUAUCUUUUCUUUCUGACUUACAAGAGUUAUUACAUAUACAUAUAAUAUCUGAUAGCCAGGCAUAUCAGAUAUAUUUAUUACAAAUAUUACCCUCUGAGGCUUGCUUUUUCACUCUCAUCUCUUUUGAUAAAGUUCUUAAUUUUAAUAAGUCCAAUUUAUGAAUAUCUUCUUUGUGAGUAAUGCUUUUGUUAUCCCAUGAAAGAUAUCUUUGCAUAUUCCCGUGUUACAUUCCUAUGUUAUCUUCACAUAUAAGUCCACAAUCAACUUGGAAUUGGUUUAAUGAAUAGUGCAAAGUAGAAAUCAAUAUUUAUUUUUUCCAGUUAAAUAUCCAAUUAACUUAGUAUUAUUUAUUGAAAAGACUAUACUUUUUCAGUAGUAAUCUUGCAUGCUAGGUACUUAGCUUGGGGCUUUGCUGGCAUUAUCUUACUUAAUCUCUGCAAAUAUAAAAAUGUAUUUUUAUUCCUACUUUAUAAAAAGGAAAUUGAGGCUCAAUGAGAAUAAAUAAAUUUUCCAAAAUCACAAAGAUAGUGCAACUCAAAUCUAGCUCUGUUUGACUCUAGAACCCAUGCUCUUUACUAAACCAAGCUGAGGUUAAACAAAAGAAAAAUCAGAUUUUCUUAUUAGUGAAGACCUGAUUGUCCAUUAAGUAAGCCCUGCAAAAGGCGGUUAUAGGAAGGAAGAGUUUAGUUACGUGUUUAUGGUUUGUUAGGUGAGGAUUUUAUUUGGGGUGUGUAUUUUCUCUGUCUCUGGAGUUCUUGAUAUACUCUCAAAUAAAAACAUUUCCCGUUUACUACUGAGUGGGCAAUCAUCCAAUAAUCAAGCAAUAUAAACAAAUUCCAACAUUUUUCUAUUCAAUGUGGAGUUAGAUUCCGUGUGUCUGUGGCUGACCUGCGCAGUGGUCUAGGAAAUAGUGCCAGUUAAGGCCAGGUCACAGGUUAGAUCUGCAUUUCCUAAAUGUGUUUUACAGAGCAUACCAGUUUUAUGUGAUAUUGACAGAUAUUGUUCAGGAACAAAAGAGUAAGUGUCUAGGGGUAG